This 208-nucleotide non-coding RNA is filed under the name Bacteroides fragilis. RNAcentral also lists the same sequence under 1 other name. The record is from RNAcentral. Lineage: Bacteria; Pseudomonadati; Bacteroidota; Bacteroidia; Bacteroidales; Bacteroidaceae.
UUAUCUUUGCAGUGCAUUGGUUUGUAUUCUCCGUGUUCCGGGGAUGCAAUUAAAAGGGAAUCAGGUGCAAAUCCUGAACAGUCCCGCUGCUGUAAGUUUCACAUCAGAUUGUUGUAAGCAACCACCACUUGCCACUGGGAAACGUUUCCUGGGAAGGCGCUUAUCAACAGAAACGAGUCAGAAGACCUGCCUGUGCAUCUUUUUCAUU